This 68-nucleotide transfer RNA is filed under the name Sympagella nux. RNAcentral describes it as "tRNA-Met". It matches the Rfam family "tRNA". From Rfam's summary of the family: Transfer RNA (tRNA) molecules are approximately 80 nucleotides in length. Their secondary structure includes four short double-helical elements and three loops (D, anti-codon, and T loops). Further hydrogen bonds mediate the characteristic L-shaped molecular structure. tRNAs have two regions of fundamental functional importance: the anti-codon, which is responsible for specific mRNA codon recognition, and the 3' end, to which the tRNAs corresponding amino acid is attached (by aminoacyl-tRNA synthetases). tRNAs cope with the degeneracy of the genetic code in two manners: having more than one tRNA (with a specific anti-codon) for a particular amino acid; and 'wobble' base-pairing, i.e. permitting non-standard base-pairing at the 3rd anti-codon position. Lineage: Eukaryota; Metazoa; Porifera; Hexactinellida; Lyssacinosida; Rossellidae. The record is from RNAcentral.
CAUUUUAUAGUUUAAAUAAAACAUAAGUCUCAUGAACUUAAAUUGUGGCCAAUAAUCCACUAAACUAG